Molecule: ribosomal RNA, 253 nt
Filed under: uncultured bacterium
Lineage: Bacteria
Description: partial 16S ribosomal RNA
Rfam family: Bacterial small subunit ribosomal RNA
Source: RNAcentral
UACAGAGGGUGCGAGCGUUGUUCGGAAUUAUUGGGCGUAAAGGGCGCGUAGGCGGUGCGGUAAGUCACCUGUGAAAUCUCCGGGCUCAACUCGGAGUCUGCAUCAGAAACUGCCGUGCUCGAGUGUGGGAGAGGUGAGUGGAAUUCCCGGUGUAGCGGUGAAAUGCGUAGAUAUCGGGAGGAAUACCGAUGGCGAAGGCAGGUCUCUGGGCUGACACUGACGCUCAUGCACGAAAGCGUGGGGAGCAAACAGG